UGUUGAUAACUCCUUAUAUGUCUGGGAAGAGAAGCGGACUCUAACUGGGACAUGUAGCUUUUACAUUUCACCUCUCCUUUAGCACAGAAAUUCUUGCAAAACUGUUUCUUGUCAUUUAGAAAUUUUAGUAGGUAUAGGGGCUUAAAGGAAAGGAAAUAGAGAAAAGCUGUUCUUCAUUAAUAGGAGAAGACCUCGGGCUGCUGAAUAAAGGAGAGCAGGUUGGAAGACAGGCAAGUGAGAGACAGGAGUUUGAGAGCAGUGAAUUAGCAGAAGACUUGGAACUGAAAGAAAGGGAAAGUGAAAGUGCUGGAAAUAAAGUUAUGUGUGGGUCAUUCCCAACAAUUAAUACUACUGAGUCCUAAUGAAGAGGAUUAUAAAAUGUUCCCUUACUUGUGACCACUUCAAAUCAGAAGGUAUGUCUGAUUUCCUCACCCAUUAAGCAGGCAUAAUAAUCAUGCUUUAGUUUAGUAUACAUGAGAUUUAGAACAGUGCUUG
This 495-nucleotide long non-coding RNA is filed under the name Macaca mulatta (Rhesus monkey). RNAcentral describes it as "lncRNA (ENSMMUG00000052652.1)". Lineage: Eukaryota; Metazoa; Chordata; Mammalia; Primates; Cercopithecidae. The record is from RNAcentral.